GAUGAACGCUGGCGGCGUGCCUAAUACAUGCAAGUCGAGCGAACGGACGAGAAGCUUGCUUCUCUGAUGUUAGCGGCGGACGGGUGAGUAACACGUGUAUAACCUACCUAUAAGACUGGGAUAACUUCGGGAAACCGGAGCUAAUACCGGAUGAUAUUUUGAACCGCAUGGUUCAAAAGUGAAAGACGGUCUUGCUGUCUCUUAUAGAUGGAUCCGCGCUGCAUUAGCUAGUUGUUAAGGUAACGGCUUACCAAGGCAACGAUGCAUAGCCGACGUGAGAGGGUGAUCGGCCACACUGGAACUGAGACACGGUCCAGACUCCUACGGGAGGCAGCAGUAGGGAAUCUUCCGCAAUGGGCGAAAGCAUGACGGAGCAACGCCGCGUGAGUGAUGAAGGUCUUCGGAUCGUAAAACUCUGUUAUUAGGGAAGAACAUAUGUGUAAGUAACUGUGCACAGCUUGACGGUAACUAAUCAGAAAGCCACGGCUAACUACGUG
This 497-nucleotide ribosomal RNA is filed under the name uncultured bacterium. RNAcentral describes it as "partial 16S ribosomal RNA". It matches the Rfam family "Bacterial small subunit ribosomal RNA", at positions 28 to 507 of the family's 1533-position model. The record is from RNAcentral.